Molecule: long non-coding RNA, 899 nt
Organism: Bubalus bubalis (water buffalo)
Lineage: Eukaryota; Metazoa; Chordata; Mammalia; Artiodactyla; Bovidae
Exons: 3
Source: RefSeq, a predicted model, not a curated record
AGGAGCCUGGCUGGCUAUAGAUCAUAGGGUCGCAAAAAGUCAGACACUAUGAAGCAACUUAGCAUGCAAACCGCUAACACAGUGCCUGUCACAUAAUAAGCACUCAGGAAAUGGGGGGAGUGUGGGACCCCACAGGACACCAUCCUGACUUCUAAGCCACCAUCUUCUGCUGCGGACACCAGCUGCAACACAGAAAAUAACAUCAAUUAUGUAGUAGCUUCAUUUGUGGUCUGGCUUCAUCCACAACCAGGCUGAAGUUUGUCAGGGAUUUGUAGAUGGGAAAACAGCUCCAGAAAAGUGAAGGAAUCAGCUCCAAACCCCACAUUACAAAGCCUGGGCUGUAAACCAGGGGUUACAAACUGAUUUAGUGCAGCCUGCUAGGCUAGGAAUGCUUUCUGCGUUUUUAAGUGAAAGAAACGAUGUAUCUAAAAACAGCGAUAUUGUCUUGAUGCCCAAGAAUUAAAAGAAAUUGAAAUCAGCUGCCAUGAACAAAGUCUUAUGGGAACACAGCGCCGCUCAUUAGUUCACCAUCCUCCAUGGUUGCGUUUGCUGCCAAGGGCAGAGUUGAAUAGUUGUGACAGAGAACUCAUGGCCUAGAAAGCCUAAACUUUUUAUCAUCUGGCCCUUCUUAGAAAAAGUGUGCAGACCUCUGCUGGGAAGCACAGAUGCACAGGAACAGUUCUGCCCCCAAGAAUACGAAAUGGAUAAAUAGCAUCUGAGAUAACCCAGGGUCCACCUGAAGGCCACAGGGGAAAGAAGAGUUCCAAAUCAGAAGGCUUCUCCUGGGCAGCUCUCACUGGUCAGACAUUGCCUUUAAUCCUGGAAACUGGAUCUGCCUUUUGCCUUUCCCCUUUAGUAACCAUAAAUUUUGAAGAAGGCUGAGCGCCGAAGAAUUGAUG